Molecule: ribosomal RNA, 483 nt
Filed under: Monoraphidium sp. UQL1_20
Lineage: Eukaryota; Viridiplantae; Chlorophyta; Chlorophyceae; Sphaeropleales; Selenastraceae
Description: SSU rRNA
Rfam family: Eukaryotic small subunit ribosomal RNA
Source: RNAcentral
AAAGCUCGUAGUUGGAUUUCGGGUGGGUUCCAGCGGUCCGCCUAUGGUGAGUACUGCUGUGGCCCUCCUUUUUGCCGGGGACGGUCUCCUGGGCUUCACUGUCCGGGAAUCGGAGUCGGCGAUGAUACUUUGAGUAAAUUAGAGUGUUCAAAGCAAGCCUACGCUCUGAAUACUUUAGCAUGGAAUAUCGCGAUAGGACUCUGGCCUAUCUCGUUGGUCUGUAGGACCGGAGUAAUGAUUAAGAGGGACAGUCGGGGGCAUUCGUAUUUCAUUGUCAGAGGUGAAAUUCUUGGAUUUAUGAAAGACGAACUACUGCGAAAGCAUUUGCCAAGGAUGUUUUCAUUAAUCAAGAACGAAAGUUGGGGGCUCGAAGACGAUUAGAUACCGUCGUAGUCUCAACCAUAAACGAUGCCGACUAGGGAUUGGAGGAUGUUCUUUUGAUGACUUCUCCAGCACCUUAUGAGAAAUCAAAGUUUUUGGGUU